ACGGAAGGCAGCAGUGGGGGAUAUUGCACAAUGGGGGAAACCCUGAUGCAGCGACGCCGCGUGAGUGAUGAAGUAUUUCGGUAUGUAAAGCUCUAUCAGCAGGGAAGAAAAUGUCGGUACCUGACUAAGAAGCACCGGCUAAAUACGUGCCAGCAGCCGCGGUAAUACGUAUGGUGCAAGCGUUAUCCGGAUUUACUGGGUGUAAAGGGAGCGUAGACGGCAUAGCAAGCCAGAUGUGAAAUGCGGGGGCUCAACCCCUGAACUGCAUUUGGAACUGUUAAGCUAGAGUAUCGGAGAGGUAAGUGGAAUUCCUAGUGUAGCGGUGAAAUGCGUAGAUAUUAGGAGGAACACCAGUGGCGAAGGCGACAUACUGGACUGUAACUGACGUUGAGGCUCGAAGGCGUGGGGAGCAAACAGGAUUAGAUACCCUGGUA
This 434-nucleotide ribosomal RNA is filed under the name uncultured Ruminococcus sp. RNAcentral describes it as "partial 16S ribosomal RNA". It matches the Rfam family "Bacterial small subunit ribosomal RNA", at positions 341 to 792 of the family's 1533-position model. The record is from RNAcentral. Lineage: Bacteria; Bacillati; Bacillota; Clostridia; Eubacteriales; Oscillospiraceae.